Molecule: non-coding RNA, 424 nt
Organism: Arvicola amphibius (Eurasian water vole)
Lineage: Eukaryota; Metazoa; Chordata; Mammalia; Rodentia; Cricetidae
Source: the annotation of a RefSeq genome assembly
UCCCAAGUCCUUCCAGUCAGGGUUCAACAUUGAACUCAGAACACUCACCAUGGACUUAAGCCUCAUAUUGGUUUCCUUUGUUCUUAUUUUAAAAGGUGUCCAGUGUGAGGUGCAAUUGCUGGAGUCUGGUGGAGGCUUAGUGCAGCCUGGAGAGUCCCUGAAACUCUCCUGUGCAGCCUCUGGAUUCACCUUCAGUAGUUAUGCAAUGAGCUGGGUUCGCCAGGCUUCCGGGAAGGGAUUGGAGUGGGUCUCAACCAUUAAUAGUGGUGGUGGUAGCACCUGGUAUACUGACGCUGUGAAGGGCCGCUUCACAAUCUCCAGAGACAAUGCCAAGAACACUCUGUACCUGGAAAUGAGCAGUCUGAGGUCUGAAGACACAGCCAUGUAUUACUGUGCAAGAUACACACUGAGUGAAUGCUGCUGA